GUGAAGCUGAGGAUAAGCUAGAAGCUGAACUUGAAUCUGAAUGUGAGCUAGAAGCCGAACUUGAAUGUGAGAAAGAUGCAGAGCUAUGACCCGUAGCACCACCUUGAUUUGUAGAAUUGGGUUUUGAGGAUUCGUCGGAACCCUUAGAAACCCCAGAUUUUAUAGAGGAACCGGAAUCCCCAGAACUUGUUGAAGACUUAGAAGUCACACCAGGACCUGAACCUUUAGAAUCAUUAGAAUCUGUAGUAGUGCCAGAACCUUCAAUAGUACCAGAAUGAUGAAAAGAAGCAGAAUGUGAAGCUGAAGUAGAAUGUGAGGAUGCACCAGAAGCCGAACUUGAAUGUGA
Molecule: long non-coding RNA, 346 nt
Organism: Hibiscus syriacus
Lineage: Eukaryota; Viridiplantae; Streptophyta; Magnoliopsida; Malvales; Malvaceae
Exons: 2
Source: RefSeq, a predicted model, not a curated record